GCGCUCUAAAGUCACCCAGGCUGGCAGAUGCAUCUCCUUGUGGCUGCAGGACUGGGGGCUGCGGCUCCUGACUGGGUGGAGGCCACCCAGACCCUAGAGGUCACCUGCAGUUCUCCAUGUCCAUUUGGGCUUCCCACCAUUGUUCUUACUUCAGGCCAGCCAAGAGCAUCUCUGCCCAGAGAGACAGAGAAUUAUCUAAUGUCACGUGACCGCGACAGCGACAUCCAUCACCUUUGCCAUAAUCCAUGGGUUAGAAGCCGAGUUACAGGUCCCACCCACACUCAGAGGAGGGGACCACACAAAGGAGUGAAAGCAGGAGGUGGGGUCACAGGGGCAUCUUGCAGUCUGUCCUCCACAGUCAGUUUAGUGGUAUUGAGAUAAAUGCCAGACUCUUAAACUCCUAAUUUCUUAAUUUCAAAUGGAGAUCCUCUAGGACUAGGGGCCUGGAUUUCAGAGAGGUCCUACCUAGGAAGCAGGAGGUGGCUGCAGGAGAUGGAGCGUGGGCACACGGAGGGCCAUCCCAACCUGGGGACCCUUCCCAUCAGCACUCCUGUUAUACCCGAGGGCAGGUGAAAAUGCCCCAGGGGCAGCCUGGGAAAGGAGGCGCAAUAUGACCACAGCAUGGAGAGUGUGUGAGUGCAAAUAUGUGUGUGUGAUGUGAGCAAGUGCAUGAGUGUGUGAGAGUGAGUGUGUGAACAAAUGUGUACGUGUCUGAGUGUAUGCGGGUGUGAAUGAGUUUGCAUGUGUGAGUGAGUGUGUGUUGGGUGAGAAGGGUAGAUCCACUCAGCUAGACUGUGAAGAUGGAUGGAUCACAAUAGCCAGCUCGUGUAGUUUUUCUCUACAUCAGUUUGCGCAUCAGGUCAUUUUGUUCAUUUGUCUUAACACUAGCUCAUAGGCGUCAUCUUCAGUGUUGCUCAGCAGAGCAGAGGGAAAGCCUCCUACAUGAGUGUUCCAGAAUAGUCUCUUCCACACACAGCGAUGGCUCUAUAAACACAGGUCACGGCAAGGGGUGAAAGGCCCCAAGUGAAGAAUCGUCGUAAUUCAAGAAUAAGGAAGCAGGACCAAAGAGAGUGGGAUGGGUUUUAGGAGAAGAGUUGCCCGUUAGAACCAUGUGUAGGCUCUUGGGGAUGUAGCUCACGUGAGGAGCACGGGAAGGCAGAGCACACAGCCCAAGGUUCAAGUUCGCGGACUUUCUAAGUCCCUCAAUGUUGCAGUAGUGAUAACAUGAAGUCAAACUCCCACAGGAAACCUACGUGUAAUUGCAUGUAUGUCAACCGUCAGAACAUUUGGAAAGCUUUUAUCAACUUAGUCUGGCCCCCUUGGAGAGCGGCCUCUCCUCCCCUCCGCCCAGGGCGGUGAAGAGUCAGGGUCCCACGAGGAGGACCGAGGAAAUGGGGGGACGAGCCUCGGCAGACACGUGCUGCCAGCCCUGCCCACAGGCCAAUGCUGGGCCCUGUCCCCCUGUCCCUGCUCUGCGGGAGCAGUGUCAGAGCCGGGCAGGACAGCUGCGUCUCCCGCAGGAGAUGCCUCGCUAUCCUGAGGUGCAGUCGGGUUCGAGAACACGGGGUUAAUGGUCUCUACGAUGCUGUAAAACAUUAAGAGUCUAAGUUCCACCUUUCACUGCAGAGAGAUUUCUCUUAAUUUGUCUAAAACUUCCCUUUCCAGCUAAAAGGUGGGCAUCAGGGGACAGGGGAGGUGAGAGGAGCCCCCUCUAAAUGACACACACUACUUAAUAGUCACUGAGUCCUUCGCAGGCAUCAGACACCACGGGAGCACUAUGGGACCAUCCUGUGAAAUCCCACAGCAUCUGUGGGAGACAGCACUCUGCUCGGGGAAACCGAGACUCAGAGGGGUUGGGCACUUUGCCCACGUAAGCAAGGACUGGGAGAGAUGCACAUCUCAGACCUGCCUCCAAACCCGCCUCAGUUUCCAUCCUGGCUCCACCGUGUACUAGUCGCCUCACCCUGGGAGGGUGGCUUUAGCUCAUCUGUAAAAUGAAGAAAAUAUUAGUACCAAAGUAUGCACCCCAUGGGCUUGUCGUGAGAGCUUUAAAUGAAUCAACGUGAGCAAAAAGCUGAGACCAGCGCCCAGAACAUGGUCAGCCCUCUGAAAACACCGGCUAUUAGUCUGCUUACCUCUACUGUCUCCUGUUUGGGGAAUGGCAAGCAAGGCCCUGUUCAUGUUUUCUACCCUCUUACGAAUUUAAACUGGGGCCUCGUCUUAGUCUGCUCGAGCUGCCAUAUCAAAAUCUCACAGACUGGGUGGCUUACACAGCAGAUUUUACUUCUCACGGUUCUGGAAGCUGGGAGUCCGAGAGCAAGGUGCUGGCUGGUUGGGCCCAGACAGCUGCCUUCUUGCCAUGUUCUCCUGGGGUCCAGGGAGAGCAAGCCCUCUGGUGUCUCUUCCCGUAAGGGCACUGACCCCAUUGUACCAGGGCCCCACCCUCACGACCUCAUGUAGCCCUAAUUACUUCCUCCAGACAUAGUCACACUGCGGGUUCGGGCUUCAGCAUAUGAGUGGGGUGGGGGUGGGGGUGCACAAUUCCACGCACAGUGGCCUUUGCAGGCUUUCCCAGCAGAAUAGGAGACAUCUCCUCUUUCACCUGGUCACUCGCCUUCCCAAAGGGCGAGGGCAGACCACCUGUCCUCCCUCACAGACUACCUCCAGCCGUGAAUAAACAACAGAUCCCCUGCCUUGAAUACAAGUGUGCGUGAAGGUGGGAUCUGAGGCUCCCUCUUGCCCCUGGGCUGGCUUUGGGCACGGAGACUGGCACACACCCAGCUCAUCUACAUGGCUGAGGAAGGCUGAUGAUGCCAGAUGGGCCAGUGAAGACAGUGCCCCUCCUAAGAGACACCACACAGCACACGGGGUCAGUAGCCAAGCCAUCCCUAACUCCAAUGGUGGUCCAUGGCCACCUUGCUUUGGGGCCACUUCGGAGCCCAUCACACGGGGCCACGCCUUUGGUGGGAGCCUCUCUCCCGGGGCUGCGCCUUCUCUCCCUCCCUGAGGGCAGGGCUUCGGGCCUUGGUUCAGGGCUCCUCCCUGGCCCCUCUGCUUGACUUUCCAUUCCUUUCCCCAGGGCCAGGGAGGAGACUCAAUGUCCCAUCUGUGAUGGGCUCCUCGCCACGUUCCCUCAGCCAGCAUGGGUGGAGGAGCGGAGACGGCUGCCCUGGGCAGAUGCCUUGCUCGCCUUCCUGGACACCUGGACUACCUAUGACGUGGCAGAGGCUCGUUUUCUCAGCGGAGGUGCCGUGAAAUAUGAAAUGGGGGCAAACGGGAAGUUCUGCUGCAGAAAUGGGAAGAUGGGUGGAGUUGGGCACGCAGGUUGGUUCUGUCUCCCCCUCCAAAUGUGUACAUAUCUUGGGGCAAAACUUUAACAUUUUACAAUUACGUUCUCACUGAUCUUAUUUGAGUCACACAGUAAUAGUAAGAUAUCUCAAGGUACAAAUUCUUCUCCUAUCAGACCGGAAAGGUCUACAAAGCCCUAAAUUUGGGCAUCCAGCCUGCGUCCUUUGCUUGCUGCAGGCAGGGAUCCCUUCCACGGCACCCACCAGGGCAUGUUCUUACCAAGCCCAGCUCGCUGUCCACUCCUGCCGCCCUCCCAGGCCGGGUCCCCCACAGCCCACUCCCCCAGGCCUCAGCCCUGGCGUCCUCCAGGCAGGGCCUGCUCACAAUAUAACUCAAGGCUCUGAAUGCUUGUCACGCAUCUACCGUCGCUCAGACCAGCAGUGUCUGGCAGUGACAACAUGGGCCCGCGUGUGGCGAAGACGUGUGUGGGACAGAUGAGAAGUGAGAUUGGAGCAAUCCGGGCCAGUGGAGAUGUUGCCUCAGACUCCAGCAAAUCUCGCUUGACGGUGCAGCCUUCCAUGGCUCUUGCUCUGCUCGUCUCGGCCUCACUUGGCUCUGAAACCACAUCACCCCAGCUCCAAGCACGACUCAACCCUCUACCUGCUGUGUGACAUUGAGCAAGUUUAUUAAUCUCUGUGCUUCAGUUUCCUCACUUGCAAAAUGAGGAUAAUAAUAUUGUUAACACCUAAUCAAGCUGUUAUGAGGAUUAAGGAAUGAAGGAAAUCAUAAAAAGUGCUAGAUAGUUUCCUCCACAUAAGUCUUUCGUGGAUUUAUUCCUAGAUUCCUUACUUUUUUGUUACUACAAAUGAAAAAAUUAAAUUUCACUUUUUCUAACUACCAGUUGUUGGUAUAUGAAAAUACAACUUAUUUUGGUAUAUUGUAAAUUUAUUACUUUUAAUAGCUUAUAAAUUUCCUUAAAUUUUCUAUGUAUACGGCCAUGUCACACUUGACUGAUGACUCUUUC
RNAcentral lists this long non-coding RNA (4312 nucleotides) under Equus asinus (donkey). Its description in RNAcentral is "lncRNA (ENSEASG00005028176.1)". The record is from RNAcentral. Lineage: Eukaryota; Metazoa; Chordata; Mammalia; Perissodactyla; Equidae.